GAUGAACGCUGGCGGCGUGCCUAAUACAUGCAAGUCGAGCGAACAGACGAGGAGCUUGCUCCUCUGACGUUAGCGGCGGACGGGUGAGUAACACGUGGAUAACCUACCUAUAAGACUGGGAUAACUUCGGGAAACCGGAGCUAAUACCGGAUAAUAUAUUGAACCGCAUGGUUCAAUAGUGAAAGACGGUUUUGCUGUCACUUAUAGAUGGAUCCGCGCCGCAUUAGCUAGAUGGUAAGGUAACGGCUUACCAAGGCAACGAUGCGUAGCCGACCUGAGAGGGUGAUCGGUCACACUGGAACUGAGACACGGUCCAGACUCCUACGGGAGGCAGCAGUAGGGAAUCUUCCGCAAUGGGCGAAAGCCUGACGGAGCAACGCCGCGUGAGUGAUGAAGGUCUUCGGAUCGUAAAACUCUGUUAUUAGGGAAGAACAAAUGUGUAAGUAACUAUGCACGUCUUGACGGUACCUAAUCAGAAAGCCACGGCUAACUACGUG
RNAcentral lists this ribosomal RNA (497 nucleotides) under uncultured bacterium. RNAcentral's name for it is "partial 16S ribosomal RNA". It matches the Rfam family "Bacterial small subunit ribosomal RNA", at positions 28 to 507 of the family's 1533-position model. The record is from RNAcentral.